Molecule: ribosomal RNA, 301 nt
Filed under: uncultured bacterium
Lineage: Bacteria
Description: partial 16S ribosomal RNA
Rfam family: Bacterial small subunit ribosomal RNA
Source: RNAcentral
CAGUACGCGGUAAUACGAAGGGGGCUAGCGUUGUUCGGAAUUACUGGGCGUAAAGCGCACGUAGGCGGACAUUUAAGUCAGGGGUGAAAUCCCGGGGCUCAACCCCGGAACUGCCUUUGAUACUGGGUGUCUAGAGUAUGGAAGAGGUGAGUGGAAUUCCGAGUGUAGAGGUGAAAUUCGUAGAUAUUCGGAGGAACACCAGUGGCGAAGGCGGCUCACUGGUCCAUUACUGACGCUGAGGUGCGAAAGCGUGGGGAGCAAACAGGAUUAGAUACCCCGUAGUCCCUGUCUCUUAUACACA